GUUGUUGACGUUGUCUAUAUUUCGAAAACCUACAGCUACAAACUUGACAAUAACCUUUGGAUAACACCAAAAUGUAAGUCUUCAAAACCAAGAGAAGAAACUGUAAAGCAGUAGUAAUGCAAAUGCUUAGACAUUCAAAUAUAAGUAGCAAACUAACCUAUGGGUUAUUUGGCUGAUUUUGAAGGGUUCAUGGUGUAUUUUGGUGCGUGUCUGUUAAGAAUCCGAGUUGUUGUCCCGUGGUAUUAGCUUCUCUGUCUUGCUGGUUGCGACUGGGCAGUUGUGAGGUCUAUAAUCAAGUGAUUCAAGGAAACCGUUAGCUUCAUUUUACU
Molecule: long non-coding RNA, 329 nt
Filed under: Gossypium barbadense (sea-island cotton)
Lineage: Eukaryota; Viridiplantae; Streptophyta; Magnoliopsida; Malvales; Malvaceae
Description: long non-coding RNA (GBAR_LNC002891)
Source: RNAcentral